RNAcentral lists this ribosomal RNA (792 nucleotides) under Trechisibus antarcticus. RNAcentral's name for it is "partial 16S ribosomal RNA". The stretch from base 1 to 579 matches the Rfam family "Bacterial large subunit ribosomal RNA", at positions 1819 to 2925 of the family's 2925-position model. Lineage: Eukaryota; Metazoa; Arthropoda; Insecta; Coleoptera; Carabidae. The record is from RNAcentral.
GUCUUUUUGAUUUAUAUAUAAAGUCUGACCUGCCCACUGAAAAUUUUAAAUGGCUGCAGUAAUUUGACUGUACAAAGGUAGCAUAAUCAUUAGUUUUUUAAUUAAAAGCUUGUAUGAAAGGUUGGACGAAGUAAAAUCUGUCUCUUUUUAAUAUAAUUAGAAUUUAAUUUUUAAGUAAAAAAGCUUAAAUUUUUAUAAAAGACGAGAAGACCCUAUAGAGUUUAAUAAUUUUAAUAAAAUAUUUAAUUAAGAUUUAUUAAUUUUAUUUAAUUAAAAUUAUUUUAUUGGGGUAAUAAAAAGAUUAAAAAAAUUCUUUUUUUUUAAUACAUUAAUUUAUGAAUAUAUGAUCCAUUUGUAGUGAUUAAAAGAUUAAAUUACCUUAGGGAUAACAGCGUAAUUUUUUUAAAGAGUUCUUAUCGAUAAAAAAGUUUGCGACCUCGAUGUUGGAUUAAAGAUUAAUUUAGGUGUAGAAGUUUAAAUUUUUGGUCUGUUCGACCAUUAAAUCUUUACAUGAUCUGAGUUCAAACCGGUGUAAGCCAGGUUGGUUUCUAUCUUUAUUAAUUUUUUAUAUUUUAGUACGAAAGGACCAAAUAUAAAAUAUAUAAAUAUUUUUAUUUUGAAUAUUAUUAAAUUAGUUAUUUUGGCAGAUUAGUGUAAUGAAUUUAGAAUUCAUUUAUGUAAAUAUUUUACAAAUAAUACUUGUUUAUAAAAGAUAUAAUUAUUUCUUUUAUUUUAAUUAUUUUAUUAAUUAUUUGUGUUUUAGUAGGUGUAGCUUUUUUAACUUUAUUAGAA